RNAcentral lists this ribosomal RNA (641 nucleotides) under Mucor irregularis. Its description in RNAcentral is "eukaryotic LSU rRNA". The stretch from base 244 to 396 matches the Rfam family "5.8S ribosomal RNA". The record is from RNAcentral. Lineage: Eukaryota; Fungi; Mucoromycota; Mucoromycetes; Mucorales; Mucoraceae.
CUUCCGUAGGGUGAACCUGCGGAAGGAUCAUUAAAUAAUUUGAGUAUGCUCUCAGCAUAUUUCUAAUUUACUGUGAACUGUUUUACUGUUUAGCGUUUUGAGGGAUUGCCUAAAGAUUAUAGGGAUAGGUCUUUAGGAUGUUAACCUAGCUAAAGUCAGGCUUAGGCCUGGUAUCCUAAUUCAUUAUUUACCAAAAGAAUUCAGAAUUAAUAUUGUAACAUAAGCGUAAAAAACUUAUAAAACAACUUUUAACAACGGAUCUCUUGGUUCUCGCAUCGAUGAAGAACGUAGCAAAGUGCGAUAACUAGUGUGAAUUGCAUAUUCAGUGAAUCAUCGAGUCUUUGAACGCAUCUUGCGCUCAAUGGUAUUCCAUUGAGCACGCCUGUUUCAGUAUCAACAACAACCCACAUCCACAAUUUUGUUGUGAAUGGAAGUGAGAGUAUCGACCUUAAAAUUGAACUCUUUAAAACUAUUAGGCCUGAACUAUUGUUCUAUUAGCCUGAACAUUUUUUUAAUAUAAAGGAAUGCUCUAGUUAAAAGACUAUCUUGGGGGCCUCCCAAAUAAAUCAUUUUUUAAACUUGAUCUGAAAUCAGGUGGGAUUACCCGCUGAACUUAAGCAUAUCAAUAAGCGGAGGAAGUG